GAAACAGGUGAUGAAGCCACCGCGGCCGGGGGGAGCGGGGGGGGGGGGGGGGAGUGGUGCCUGCUUUUUGGAAAACGCGAAUCAACUGUGGUCCAUAGUCGUUUCAGCCCUUUGACCACUGACCGGAAGAAGAGCAAGUGACAGAGGCUCGUCUUCAGCUCUGGGGACGGACCGCCUGAGCGUGCGGAAAGAGGGAGCGUUGGCAAAAUGGAGGUGGAAGGGGACAGGGCGAGCUCACGUGAAUGUGUGUUCCAGCACAGGGCAGGCUACUUCCUGGUUUUAGGGGACAGUUUUGCCGGAGUUGCACAUGGGGACAGCCUUCCCCUGAGGAUGGUGUGCGCGGUUACCGUGGGGACCCCGAGAGAGACCCCAUUCACGAGAGUAACACGUGCAAGUAAUGCACCUAGGAGGCGUGGUCCCUUGUGUUUUCUGCCGUAAGAUGGACUUGGGAUGCGGACCAAGCCUCCCAGUAGAAAAAAGCGAACAUUACUGAAUAACGUGGAAGAAAUCUCCGCAAGCAGAUGCGUGAACUGGUGAGGAGAUAAAGACCAUGCGGGUGAUUUGCCGGGUGCAAAGGAGAACAGACAGGGAAGAGGGCAUCGACCCCAGUGUUGUCUUGGGUGGGAUUUGCUGGACUGGGUUCGCCUGAGCCUUGCCUGCCCAGUCAGGUAGAGCUCGAGGGACAGGAAGCGGAACUCUUACCAACCCAAGAAUAGGAGGGAACAUACACAGAGAUUCUCUCAAAACAAAACAGCAGGUGUUUUACUGAGCAGGUAAACAACAGAAGCAUUCUUUUGCUUUAGAUUGGGAAUUAGCCAUAGUAGGCAUUACCCUCACUGCUGAAAAUUACACAAAAGACUGUAGCAAAAGGCGGGAGGGAGAGACAGAGAAAGAAAAGAGAACAAAAGAGAAGGAAGGAAGGAAGGAAGGAAGGAAG
Lynx canadensis (Canada lynx) is the source of this 937-nucleotide long non-coding RNA. RefSeq lists it as uncharacterized. Lineage: Eukaryota; Metazoa; Chordata; Mammalia; Carnivora; Felidae. The transcript has 2 exons. The record is from RefSeq and is a predicted model, not a curated record.